This 492-nucleotide ribosomal RNA is filed under the name uncultured bacterium. RNAcentral describes it as "partial 16S ribosomal RNA". It matches the Rfam family "Bacterial small subunit ribosomal RNA", at positions 29 to 507 of the family's 1533-position model. The record is from RNAcentral.
AGUGAACGCUGGCGGUAGGCCUAACACAUGCAAGUCGAACGGCAGCACAGUAAGAGCUUGCUCUUACGGGUGGCGAGUGGCGGACGGGUGAGGAAUACAUCGGAAUCUACUUUUUCGUGGGGGAUAACGUAGGGAAACUUACGCUAAUACAGCAUACGACCUACGGGUGAAAGCAGGGGAUCGUCGGACCUUGCGCGAUUGAAUGAGCCGAUGUCGGAUUAGCUAGUUGGCGGGGUAAAGGCCCACCAAGGCGACGAUCCGGAGCUGGUAUGAGAGGAUGAUCCGCCACACGGGAACUGGGACACGGUCCAGACUCCUACGGGAGGCAGCAGUGGGGAAUAUUGGACAAUGGGCGCAAGCCUGAUCCAGCCAUACCGCGUGGGUGAAGAAGGCCUUCGGGUUGUAAAGCCCUUUUGUUGGGAAAGAAAAGCAGCAGGUUAAUACCCCGCUGUUCUGACGGUACCCAAAGAAUAAGCACCGGCUAACUUCGUG